GAUCCUGGGCUCAGGACGAACGCUGGCGGCGUGCUUAACACACGCAAGUCGAACGGAAAGAGAUGAAAGAGCUUGCUCUUUUAUUAAUUUCAGUGGCAAACGGGUGAGUAACACGUAAACAACCUGCCUUAAGGAUGGGGAUAACAGACGGAAACGACUGCUAAUACCGAAUACGUUCUAAGCAUCGCAUGGUGCAUAGAAGAAAGGGUGGCCUCUACAAGAAAGCUAUCGCCUUAAGAGGGGUUUGCG
RNAcentral lists this ribosomal RNA (249 nucleotides) under uncultured bacterium. Its description in RNAcentral is "partial 16S ribosomal RNA". It matches the Rfam family "Bacterial small subunit ribosomal RNA", at positions 15 to 235 of the family's 1533-position model. The record is from RNAcentral.